RNAcentral lists this long non-coding RNA (551 nucleotides) under Homo sapiens (human). RNAcentral describes it as "HSALNT0267799". The record is from RNAcentral. Lineage: Eukaryota; Metazoa; Chordata; Mammalia; Primates; Hominidae.
CUCAAGUGCUGCAGCGCGGGCUGUGCCACCUUCUGCUCUCUGCCCAAUGGCCAACUGGCUGAGUGAUUCGAAGAAAGUGAGGAAUCCUCCCUGGACACUGUAUCGCCCUUCGUCGUCUUUCAGUCAAUCUCUUCCACUCUAAGGAUUGAGUGAGCGCGAGCUGGGGACUCUCUCAAAGAUGCCAGCACAGGCUGGGAAGGUUUGUAAUACGGUGACCCAAGACACCGAUCAGCAGGGAGGUGAUAAGGAGGGUUCCUGCCCCCAGGUGAACAUUAACUUUCCCCAGCUCGGCCUCUGUCGGGACCAGUGCCAGGUGGACAGCCAGUGUCCUGGCCAGAUGAAAUGCUGCCGCAAUGGCUGUGGGAAGGUGUCCUGUGUCACUCCCAAUUUCUGAGCUCCAGCCACCACCAGGCUGAGCAGUGAGGAGAGAAAGUUUCUGCCUGGCCCUGCAUCUGGUUCCAGCCCACCUGCCCUCCCCUUUUUCGGGACUCUGUAUUCCCUCUUGGGCUGACCACAGCUUCUCCCUUUCCCAACCAAUAAAGUAACCACUU